This 59-nucleotide transfer RNA is filed under the name Phenacomys intermedius (western heather vole). RNAcentral's name for it is "tRNA-Ser". The record is from RNAcentral. Lineage: Eukaryota; Metazoa; Chordata; Mammalia; Rodentia; Cricetidae.
AAGAAAGUAUGCAAGAACUGCUAAUUCAUGCCACCGAACCUAGACAUUCGGCUUUCUUA